AGAGUUUGAUCCUGGCUCAGAUUGAACGCUGGCGGCGUGCUUAACACAUGCAAGUCGAACGUGAAAGUCCUUCGGGGCGAGUAAAGUGGCGCACGGGUGAGUAACGCGUGGAUAAUCUACCCUUAAGAUGGGGAUAACGGCUGGAAACGGUCGCUAAUACCGAAUACGCUCCCGAUUUUAUCAUUGGGGGGAAAGAUGGCCUCUGCUUGCAAGCUAUCGCUUAAGGAUGAGUCCGCGUCCCAUUAGCUAGUUGGCGGGGUAACGGCCCACCAAGGCAACGAUGGGUAGCCGGUCUGAGAGGAUGACCGGCCACACUGGAACUGGAACACGGUCCAGACUCCUACGGGAGGCAGCAGUGGGGAAUAUUGCGCAAUGGGCGAAAGCCUGACGCAGCGACGCCGCGUGAGGGAUGAAGGUUCUCGGAUCGUAAACCUCUGUCAGGGGGGAAGAAACCCCCUCGUGUGAAUAAUGCGAGGGCUUGACGGUACCCCCAAAGGAAGCACCGGCUAACUCCGUGCCAACAGCCGCGGUAAUACGGAGGGUGCAAGCGUUAAUCGGAAUCACUGGGCGUAAAGCGCACGUAGGCGGCUUGGUAAGUCAGGGGUGAAAUCCCACAGCCCAACUGUGGAACUGCCUUUGAUACUGCCAGGCUUGAGUACCGGAGAGGGUGGCGGAAUUCCAGGUGUAGGAGUGAAAUCCGUAGAUAUCCGGAGGAACACCGGUGGCGAAGGCGGCCACCUGGACGGUAACUGACGCUGAGGUGCGAAAGCGUGGGUAGCAAACAGGAUUAGAUACCCUGUAGUCCACGCUGUAAACGAUGGGUGCUGGGUGCUGGGAUGUAUGUCUCGGUGCCGUAGCUAACGCGAUAAGCACCCCGCCUGGGGAGUACGGUCGCAAGGCUGAAACUCAAGAAAUUGACGGGGGCCCGCACAGCGGUGGAAGU
RNAcentral lists this ribosomal RNA (943 nucleotides) under uncultured bacterium. RNAcentral's name for it is "bacterial SSU rRNA". It matches the Rfam family "Bacterial small subunit ribosomal RNA", at positions 8 to 939 of the family's 1533-position model. The record is from RNAcentral.